UGGGGCCUGUAGCUCAGGUGGUUAGAGCGCACCCCUGAUAAGGGUGAGGUCGGACGUUCGAGUCGUCCCAGGCCCACCA
RNAcentral lists this transfer RNA (79 nucleotides) under Methylorubrum extorquens. RNAcentral's name for it is "tRNA-Ile". It matches the Rfam family "tRNA". From Rfam's summary of the family: Transfer RNA (tRNA) molecules are approximately 80 nucleotides in length. Their secondary structure includes four short double-helical elements and three loops (D, anti-codon, and T loops). Further hydrogen bonds mediate the characteristic L-shaped molecular structure. tRNAs have two regions of fundamental functional importance: the anti-codon, which is responsible for specific mRNA codon recognition, and the 3' end, to which the tRNAs corresponding amino acid is attached (by aminoacyl-tRNA synthetases). tRNAs cope with the degeneracy of the genetic code in two manners: having more than one tRNA (with a specific anti-codon) for a particular amino acid; and 'wobble' base-pairing, i.e. permitting non-standard base-pairing at the 3rd anti-codon position. The record is from RNAcentral. Lineage: Bacteria; Pseudomonadati; Pseudomonadota; Alphaproteobacteria; Hyphomicrobiales; Methylobacteriaceae.